This 253-nucleotide ribosomal RNA is filed under the name uncultured bacterium. RNAcentral's name for it is "partial 16S ribosomal RNA". It matches the Rfam family "Bacterial small subunit ribosomal RNA", at positions 524 to 776 of the family's 1533-position model. The record is from RNAcentral.
UACGUAGGGGGCAAGCGUUGUCCGGAAUCAUUGGGCGUAAAGAGCGUGUAGGCGGCCCGGUAAGUCCGCUGUGAAAGUCCAGGGCUCAACCCUGGGAUGCCGGUGGAUACUGUCGGGCUCGAGUCCGGAAGAGGAGUGUGGAAUUCCUGGUGUAGCGGUGAAAUGCGCAGAUAUCAGGAGGAACACCAAUGGCGAAGGCAGCACUCUGGGACGUGACUGACGCUGAGACGCGAAAGCGUGGGGGCGAAACAGG